This 255-nucleotide ribosomal RNA is filed under the name uncultured bacterium. RNAcentral describes it as "partial 16S ribosomal RNA". It matches the Rfam family "Bacterial small subunit ribosomal RNA", at positions 524 to 776 of the family's 1533-position model. The record is from RNAcentral.
UACGGGGGGGGGCAAGCGUUGUUCGGAAUUACUGGGCGUAAAGGGCGCGUAGGCGGCUUGGCAAGUGGAUGGUGAAAUCCCUCGGCUUAACCGAGGAACUGCCGUCCAAACUGCUUCGCUUGAGACCGGGAGAGGUGAGUGGAAUUCCCAGUGUAGCGGUGAAAUGCGUAGAUAUUGGGAGGAACACCAGUGGCGAAGGCGGCUCACUGGACCGGUACUGACGCUGAUGCGCGAAAGCGUGGGGGAGCAAACGGG